AUGAACGCUGGCGGCGUGCCUAAUACAUGCAAGUCGAGCGAACGGACGAGAAGCUUGCUUCUCUGAUGUUAGCGGCGGACGGGUGAGUAACACGUGGAUAACCUACCUAUAAGACUGGGAUAACUUCGGGAAACCGUAGCUAAUACCGGAUAAUAUUUUGAACCGCAUGGUUCAAAAGUGAAAGACGGUCUUGCUGUCACUUAUAGAUGGAUCCGCGCUGCAUUAGCUAGUUGGUAAGGUAACGGCUUACCAAGGCAACGAUGCAUAGCCGACCUGAGAGGGUGAUCGGCCACACUGGAACUGAGACACGGUCCAGACUCCUACGGGAGGCAGCAGUAGGGAAUCUUCCGCAAUGGGCGAAAGCCUGACGGAGCAACGCCGCGUGAGUGAUGAAGGUCUUCGGAUCGUAAAACUCUGUUAUUAGGGAAGAACAUAUGUGUAAGUAACUGUGCACAUCUUGACGGUACCUAAUCAGAAAGCCACGGCUAACUAUGUG
RNAcentral lists this ribosomal RNA (496 nucleotides) under uncultured bacterium. RNAcentral describes it as "partial 16S ribosomal RNA". It matches the Rfam family "Bacterial small subunit ribosomal RNA", at positions 29 to 507 of the family's 1533-position model. The record is from RNAcentral.